GCACUGUGUAUGCGACUUUCUGCUCCCAGAAGCCAGCGGCUUCACGCAACGACGUGUACCAGUUCUUCUUGAGCAACUACGGGGAUGUGAUCCAUUCGAUUAGAAUGGAUGAGCAAAAUCCCCCUCUCCAUGCUUGGAUCACAUUUCACAGUCCAGAAGUUGUAAAAGGUGUCCUUGGUGAGGGACCUCUGCCUCUUAAGAAAUGGAUGCUGGGUGGGAAGAGCAUCUGGCUCAAACCCAGCAUCCUAUAGGUGGAUUGAAAUGGGGGGCAGUGGCUGCAAUAAGCUGUUCCUGGCUUGGUGAAGCAGAAGAGAAGUACAUCAUUUUGUUGCUCUGCUGCAAACUCAGUUGAUGCAGAAAUAAUUGCCAGUGGAUAGUUUAGAGCUUUUCUGUUUUGGUAGUUAAGAAAUUGAGAGAUAGUUUGAUGUUGAAUGUUGAGAUAUUGAAUUGGCAACAGGAACUUGUAUGUAUAGUAGAAAUGAGGUGGCUGAUGAGUAUAGAAAGUGAUAUUCAAAUGAGGCGAAAUGUUAAUACUUUUGAAUUGAUAGUAGAAUUCAAUGAAUGUGUGGUGCAGCAGGUUUGUAAAUA
Rosa chinensis is the source of this 588-nucleotide long non-coding RNA. RefSeq lists it as uncharacterized. The transcript has 3 exons. The record is from RefSeq and is a predicted model, not a curated record. Lineage: Eukaryota; Viridiplantae; Streptophyta; Magnoliopsida; Rosales; Rosaceae.